ACUCUUCUUAUAUUCUCAUCUACAUCUUAGUAUAUUUGGCAAAUUUUGUUCAAGGAAGCAUUACCAUAAAACUUUUCAGGAGUUAUAAGAUUGGUCUAGUGGUGAAGGGAGAAGGAAAGGAAAUUGGAGGUUUGAAUUCUCUGCUAAUAAAAACUAGCAAUACUAACAAUUAAGAUUUAUUGAUAAAAAAACCAUCAAGCUUUUCAUCUUUAUCCUAAAACUAAGAAGAAUUCUAUGAGCAAAAAGUGUCAUCCCAGCUUUUCUAAUACAUUUUUUUCAAAUAAUUAUUGGGAAUGAUCUGUUUUUGAAAUUUUAUGUUAAUAGAAUAAGAAUUUAAAACAACUUUUGUUUAAUUAAAUUUAGAAAAAAUUGAUAAUCUUGAAUAAACUUGAUCUGGUGCAUAAAUUUUUUAGUAAAACCGAAUGUUAAUUAAUGUGAUAUCUUCUGUUUUCCCAUUUCCUUUAAAUUCAAAAUAACUUGAUAUAUUUUUGUUAUCUUUGCUUGCUAAUAUAAUUAACAGUUUUUGGUUUCCGCUGUUUUGCUCUCCAAAAAUCAAAUUCCGUCUUUCAAACUUUCUUCUUCUACGUUGCUGCACUGCACUGCGCCCUGAAGAAGAAGCGAGUUUGGUGUUGUCAAUGAGCUUCAUAUGUGUGGGAGGAAGUUCAAUCCAUGUGGUAACUGUACUUGUGUUAAAUUUUGCUUCAUGAAUUAUUAUUGAUUGGGAUUGAGGUACUGAUUUCUGUGUGCCUUCUCUAAAUUAUGUAACAGAAGCCAAGAAAAUUUAUCAAAGAAAAAUAUUUGUAUCUACAGAAGCCACAUGGGGGCCUGGUAACUGGGCUACUUGGCUCUGAAAAUUAGCAUUGUAAUUGUAAUUAUAAUUGGUGCUUUGUUAAAUAUGUGAUGAUGAAGGUUCCAGAGCUCCUUGGCUCUGAAUUUAGCAUUGUAAUUGUGUAUUUCUGUUGUCGCGUAUUUUAUCAAGAAAGGUUCAUGAGUCAAGACAUUUUGUUGGAUGCUUGGCAAUCUAGCAUCCACGAUUCCCAAGAUAUUUCAGUGUUCUAUCUUUUUUUUAUCGGUAAAUGUUAACUAUUAGGUUGUUACUUUUUGUUAGUCGGGGAGAUGGAACUCGUGACCUUUUUCUCCUUCUCUUUCUUCUUAACCAUCUAACCAACCUUAUGCUCUAUGAUAAUAUGUGAGCUACUUGUUUGAAAUAGCAGCCAUCAAAAUACUUAUUUGUUGGUUCCUCUUACUGGUGCUAUGCAUGUGUGAAAAUAGGUCAACCCUCAUAAGGACAUUUAAGAUGUGUUUGGAUAAAUAGCUUAGUUAAACAUUUAUUGGAUAAAUUUACCCUAUGAGAACUUAUGUCAUAAUUAUGAACAUAAAAUGAGAACAAAAUGAAUUAAAAAUAGCUUAUUUUGAUAAGUUUAGCCAAGAAACUAUUUUAAACAAGUUAAAAAGAGUGUGUAGGAGUUAUAAGCCAUUGUCAUAAGCACAGAUAAGCUCCACAAACUCCUCUAGAUGCUCCCUUAGUGAAUACAUGGAGGGUUAAAGAAUUGGAUUAGAAUUACUCUGAAUUAUGCAAUUUUAUUAGAUUGUCAAUGUUACGGGUGCAUAAUAAUUGAUACACUUCAAUUUUCAACAUGUUGAUAUGGUAGUGUUAGUCUGCCGUAGUUAAUUUCUGCUUCUGAUCAUAUCUUGAUUGGAUGUGCAACGAAGUUUUAGCCCAUGAACAGAUUGCUUCACCAACUAGCAGAAAAUCUGCUGCUUUGCUCCCGAAGAGCAUAUUGUUUUCUUGAAAUAUUGCAAAGAAGUACUAAAAUUCUGCAAGAAUACUUUUCUAUGUUUUUAAAAGGUUGAGUUAUGCAACUGACAUAUGAACAUAAAAUGAUGAGAAUCAUGAAACUGGCCAAAUACAGGCUAAAGGCCCAAGUGGAGAAGGACGAAGGCCCAAGUGGAGAAGGACGAAGGCCCAAGUGGAGAAGGAUGAAGGCCCAAGUGGAAAAGGAUGAAGGCCCAGAGGCAGAGACACUAUCAAGACUAUUAAUUGUUGCUGAAGACCCAAACUAAUUUGAAGGCCCAAGUUAAAUAAGUUUUUAGUUAUAAUUUAUUUUUUAUUGUAAUUUUGGCCCAAACUGUUUAAAAGGCCCAUGUCUAUUUUUAUCUUUUUGUUUAGCUACACUAUAAGUAUGGGUUUGUGUUUUGAAUAAAAAAGACUUUUGGCAUUUUGAUCAAAUUUGGUGAGAGUUUCUCUUCGGGUUCCUUGUUGAACCAAUUAUCAGACUUAUCAAGGUAAUCCUUGUGGCGUCUACCCAGACUUAUCUUCCUUUACUGGAAGUGGCGUCUACCCAGACUUAUCUUCCUUCACUGGAAGUGGCGUCAUCCAAACCUUCGUAGCCUAUAUCAAACGAUCCGCCCCGUAAGAUUCACAUCAUUUGGUAUCAGAGCUUCGACUCUUGAUACAGGUUCUAUCUUAUCCUAUUAUUUUUCUUUGUAAUUUGUCUUGGUUCGUGUUUUGUCCUUGUUCUGUUAUUUGUUUUUCUUGUUUGCGUCUUGUUGCGUUCUUGUUUGUGUCUUUGUUUCGUUCUUGUUCUUGUCACGUUUGUGUUCUUGUUGUUGUUCUUGUUUCUAGUGUCUUUCAGACUUUGUGUCGUAAAAAAAAAAUUGUUUGGGUUCUGUUUCAAGUAAAAAAAAAAGUUGCAGAAAUUUUGAAGAAAAAAAAAGAGAAGAAAAGAAGAAAGAGAAAAAAGAGAAAGUGGGUGUUUGAUCUUUCAACACGAAAUUGAGGCAGUUAGAGGCUUUUUUUUGGCAGAAAAUCGUGUACCAAAUCCCCUUAUCUAGAUUCUCCUCUGAAUUCUGAGCGUUUUGAUAUAUAGUGGGCCUCAAACGGACAACCGUAGCAAAAGUUAUGAGCAUUUGAAGUUUACUUGUCAUAUCUGUUAUCUUAUCUGUUAUCCUAUCUGUUAUCUUAUUUGUUAUCAUAUCUGUUAUCCAAAUUAAAUCUAAUUUGUUAUCCAAAUCUGAUCUAUUAUCCAAAUCAAAUCAAAUCAAUUUUUUUAUCCAAAUCAGAUUUGUUAUCCAAAUCUAAUCUGUUAUCCAAAUCAAAUCCAAUCUGCUAUCCAAAUCAAGUCCAAGUUGUUAUCCCAAAUCAAAUCUGUUACUCUGAUAAUUAUAUUGUCUUUCCUUUUAUUUUAUAUUACCUUGUGUGUCUAAUUCAAUCCAUCCAGGAACUUAAGAGGGAGUGAGUGGUAAAAGGCAAGAGUGAAAACAUCACACAAAAGCCUAUAUUGAGAGCAUCAAACACGAGUGAACUACCAUUAAAGAGAGAAACACGUGAGUAGAGUGUGGUGAGGUCCUGAAUUUUUUUUAAUUUACUGCAAAAUUCUUUGUUCCUUAAUCAUGGCAAGAGCUGGUGACAAUGGUGGUGUAUAUCAUCAACUAGAACGAAUCUCAACGCUUAUUUCUGGACGCGUGGACUACACAAAUGCAACGUUUGUUGAACCGUAACAAAGAAAAGCCUUACAGACGAAUAGCCAAAUCUUCCUCAUUUACUCUUAAACCUCUAUCCCCUAGAGAAGUGUGUGAUGACCAAAUCAGAAUUGGAGAAAAGAGAGAACAAGAGAAAGAAAAUAGUGAGGCACCACAAAGGAAUAUGAAAAAGAAGAGUGAUACACAUGAGAGAAAAUUUAAUUAUUUUGCAGAGGCGAGUGAAGUGAGGAAAGUGUUACCUGCUCAUGAACCACUCAAUCUACAGUAUUGCAAAGACAGUAAAAUUUCUACUGAUAAUUCUAAUGAGUUUACUAUUUCUAUUUCUCCUAGUGUUCAACCAUUAUUGCAGGAAUUUAAAAAUGUCUUUCCUAAGGAGAUUCCUCAUGGACUACCACCUUCAAGAGACAUAGAACAUCAAGUUGAUGUCCUCCCCGGAGCUUCAUUGCCUAACAGGCCAACUUACAAAAGCAAUCCCCAAGAGACUCAACGUAAGGAUGCACAUGCCAAAGUUGAGUAUGUGAAAAGAUUGUAUGACCAAGUGAAGGUGCAAAUUGCAAAGAAGAAUGAAAGCUAUGUCAAGCAACCCCACAAGAAAAGGAAGGAAGUGGUACUUGAACCCGGUGAUGAUCCUGAACAUUUGAGGACAAAUGUUUUCCAAGAAUGAGGGAAUGAUGAGAAUCAUGAAACUGGCCAAAUACAGGCUAAAGGCCCAAGUGGAGAAGGACGAAGGCCCAAGUGGAGAAGGAC
This 4230-nucleotide long non-coding RNA is filed under the name Glycine max (soybean). Its description in RNAcentral is "long non-coding RNA (GMAX_LNC004040)". Lineage: Eukaryota; Viridiplantae; Streptophyta; Magnoliopsida; Fabales; Fabaceae. The record is from RNAcentral.